Molecule: long non-coding RNA, 301 nt
Filed under: Phoenix dactylifera (date palm)
Lineage: Eukaryota; Viridiplantae; Streptophyta; Magnoliopsida; Arecales; Arecaceae
Description: long non-coding RNA (PDAC_LNC001674)
Source: RNAcentral
UCUUCUUUGUUUGAAAACAACGAGAAGAUAACAAGAUUCUUUUCUUCUACCCAAUCAAGCUCCUUAUUUUCUGUCUCAUUCAGCUGUGAGAUAUUCAUUAGGUAUUCCCUCAAUAUCUUGUAAAUGCAAUGAAAGGAGGUGGAUCUGGCUCUUGGCUUUAAGAUUCGAUUCUAACACAACCAUAUGUCACCUUUGUCCGGCUCUGCACCCUAAACACUUCCAUUGUCUCCUCCUUCCCUUCCCAAUCCUUAAAAAAUCUAACCACUUACCAUUCAAACAUACCUGCCCUCCUUACCAACCU